GUGCUCGCUUCAGCAGCACCUAUACUAAAAUUGGAACAAUAUAGAGAUUAGCAUGGCCCCUGAGCAAGGAAGACACGCAAAUUCGUGAAGCAUUCCAUAUUUUU
Small nuclear RNA from Eptesicus fuscus (big brown bat), 104 nucleotides. The record is from RefSeq and is a predicted model, not a curated record. Lineage: Eukaryota; Metazoa; Chordata; Mammalia; Chiroptera; Vespertilionidae.